Molecule: ribosomal RNA, 777 nt
Filed under: uncultured Neocallimastigales
Lineage: Eukaryota; Fungi; Neocallimastigomycota; Neocallimastigomycetes; Neocallimastigales
Description: partial large subunit ribosomal RNA
Rfam family: Eukaryotic large subunit ribosomal RNA
Source: RNAcentral
UAUCUCUGUAGAGUCUGCAUAUCAAUAAGCGGAGGAAAAGAAACUAACUAGGAUUCCCUUCAGUAACGGCGAGUGAAGCGGGAAGAGCUCAAAUUUGAAAUCUUCAAGGGUUCUACCUUGACGAAUUGUAGUUUAAAGAAGUGUUUUCUGUUGGAGUUUUGGUAAAAGUUCUUUGGAAUAGGACAUCAUAGAGGGUGAGAAUCCCGUAUUUGACCAUUAUUUCCAGCUUUAUGAUACACUUUCAAAGAGUCGGAUUGUUUGGGAAUGCAGUCCAAAAUGGGUGGUAAAUUUCAUCUAAAGCUAAAUACUUGGCGAGAGACCGAUAGCGAACAAGUACCGUGAGGGAAAGAUGAAAAGAACUUUGAAAAGAGAGUUAAACAGUACGUGAAAUUGUCAGAAGGGAAGCGUUUGACACCAGUGUUGUUUUCUCGAAAAUCAAUUAAAAAAGGCAGGAUUUUGUGUUGUAUUGACUUUAUCAGCUUUCUGCACUCUUUUCUUGUCUUUUUUAAUGCACUUUUCGUUUAACAAGUCAACAUCAAUUUCUUUUGUUGUAAAAGGGUCAUUGGAAGGUGGCUUUCUUCUCGGAGAAAGUGUUUAUAGCCUUUGGCCUCUGCAAUCGGAGAGAUUGAGGUCUGCAGCGUAGAUCCUUCGGGGUUAGAUACAUUUGUGCUAAGUUAUAGCCUUUCAUAGACAACUUGUUGACUAUGAUCAGUCAUGUAGCUUACUCGCUUAUGCUAUUUUACCUACGCUUAGGAUGUUGACGAUCAGCUGAGCGCG